RNAcentral lists this unclassified non-coding RNA (436 nucleotides) under uncultured Mycena. RNAcentral's name for it is "sequence contains ITS2". The stretch from base 1 to 154 matches the Rfam family "5.8S ribosomal RNA". Lineage: Eukaryota; Fungi; Basidiomycota; Agaricomycetes; Agaricales; Tricholomataceae. The record is from RNAcentral.
AACUUUCAGCAACGGAUCUCUUGGCUCUCCCAUCGAUGAAGAACGCAGCGAAAUGCGAUAAGUAAUGUGAAUUGCAGAAUUUAGUGAAUCAUCGAAUCUUUGAACGCACCUUGCGCCCUUUGGUAUUCCGGAGGGCAUGCCUGUUUGAGUGUCAUUAAAUUCUCAACCUUGCAAGCUUUUUGUUUGUAAGGCUGGGUUGUGAGUGCUUUGCUGGCUUCCUUCAGUUGGAUGGUUUGCUCCCUUUAUAUUUAUUAGCGGGAUACUUUGUGAAUGGGUUCACGUAGUGUGAUAAUUAUCUACGCCGCUUGACCCUGAAACAAGACUUGUGGCAAAAGGCUUAUAACCGUCGCUUUUGGGGACAACUUUAUCUUGACAAUUUGACCUCAAAUCAGGUAGGACUACCCGCUGAACUUAAGCAUAUCAAUAAGCGGAGGCU